ACUCGACUACAUGAAGCUGGAAUCGCUAGUAAUCGUAGAUCAGCAUGCUACGGUGAAUACGUUCCCGGGUCUUGUACACACCGCCCGUCACACCACGAGAGUUUGUAACCCCCGAAGCCGGUGGAGUAACCUUUUAGGAGCUAGCCGUCGAAGGUGGGACAAAUGAUUGGGGUGAAGUCGUAACAAGGUAGCCGUAUCGGAAGGUGCGGCUGG
This 213-nucleotide ribosomal RNA is filed under the name Staphylococcus aureus. Its description in RNAcentral is "partial 16S ribosomal RNA". It matches the Rfam family "Bacterial small subunit ribosomal RNA", at positions 1310 to 1521 of the family's 1533-position model. Lineage: Bacteria; Bacillati; Bacillota; Bacilli; Caryophanales; Staphylococcaceae. The record is from RNAcentral.